RNAcentral lists this long non-coding RNA (402 nucleotides) under Vitis vinifera (wine grape). Its description in RNAcentral is "long non-coding RNA (VVIN_LNC001304)". Lineage: Eukaryota; Viridiplantae; Streptophyta; Magnoliopsida; Vitales; Vitaceae. The record is from RNAcentral.
CUAAUUUUCCAUGACAAUGUCAAAAAUAGAAGAAAGAUAAAUAAGAAAUAAAAUUCUUAAAUAUGAGAACUUAACCUAUUUGUGGAAGGUUCUUGUGUUGCAUCUACCAUUAGAGAAAUCCAAAAUCCUACACAAAGUAUGUUAAAAGAACCAGAGCAUGCUCCUUAAAGCUUAAGUUAUGAAAUGAUAGUGAGGAUGAGGAUGAUGAAGAUGAUGAUGAUGAUGAUGAUGAUGAUGAUGAUGACGAUGAUGAUGAUGACGAUGAUGACGACGAUGAAGAUGAUGAGGUUAAAAGAACCAGAGCAUGCUCCUUAAACCUUAAGUUAUGAAAUGAUAGUGAGGAUGAGGAUGAUGAAGACGAUGAUGAAGAUGAUGAUGAUGAUGAUGACGAUGAUGAUGACG